RNAcentral lists this ribosomal RNA (640 nucleotides) under Salmonella enterica. RNAcentral describes it as "partial 23S ribosomal RNA". It matches the Rfam family "Bacterial large subunit ribosomal RNA", at positions 711 to 1263 of the family's 2925-position model. The record is from RNAcentral. Lineage: Bacteria; Pseudomonadati; Pseudomonadota; Gammaproteobacteria; Enterobacterales; Enterobacteriaceae. RNAcentral also lists the same sequence under 1 other name.
AGACCCGAAACCCGGUGAUCUAGCCAUGGGCAGGUUGAAGGUUGGGUAACACUAACUGGAGGACCGAACCGACUAAUGUUGAAAAAUUAGCGGAUGACCUGUGGCUGGGGGUGAAAGGCCAAUCAAACCGGGAGAUAGCUGGUUCUCCCCGAAAGCUAUUUAGGUAGCGCCUCGUGAAUUCAUCUCCGGGGGUAGAGCACUGUUUCGGCUAGGGGGCCAUCCCGGCUUACCAACCCGAUGCAAACUGCGAAUACCGGAGAAUGUUAUCACGGGAGACACACGGCGGGUGCUAACGUCCGUCGUGAAGAGGGAAACAACCCAGACCGCCAGCUAAGGUCCCAAAGUCAUGGUUAAGUGGGAAACGAUGUGGGAAGGCCCAGACAGCCAGGAUGUUGGCUUAGAAGCAGCCAUCAUUUAAAGAAAGCGUAAUAGCUCACUGGUCGAGUCGGCCUGCGCGGAAGAUGUAACGGGGCUAAACCAUGCACCGAAGCUGCGGCAGCGAACGUAUCACCCAAGACAACUUUACGGAGUUGACGAUUGACGGAGCGAAGCGACGUCAAAGCGUUCAUUAAAGUCGAGUUGGCUUAGGGAUACGUUCGUUGGGUAGGGGAGCGUUCUGUAAGCCUGUGAAGGUGUGUCG